Long non-coding RNA from Hyla sarda, 257 nucleotides. RefSeq lists it as uncharacterized. NCBI's taxonomy places the organism in Eukaryota, Metazoa, Chordata, Amphibia, Anura, Hylidae. The transcript is spliced from 3 exons. The record is from RefSeq and is a predicted model, not a curated record.
CAAGCUGAUUGGUUGCUAUGGGCAACUGGGCAAGUUUUCCUCUGCACAGCUCCUUGUACCAACGGAAAGGAGGAUAUCUGUCGGCCACUCCAUCAGUAACAGGAGUCCCAGAAGAAGUAACUUGAAUGAGAUGAGGAAGCUUCCAGUAACAACCAGCAUUACAGGAAUUUGUGUUUCACUUGGUGACCUUUUUAACAACAGAACACAUAAUUAAGUCAACUGUCUGAUAUAAUAUGGAAAUAAUAAACUUUGUUAAA